This is a small nuclear RNA of Peromyscus maniculatus bairdii (prairie deer mouse), 159 nucleotides long. Its record names the gene U1. It matches the Rfam family "U1 spliceosomal RNA". From Rfam's summary of the family: U1 is a small nuclear RNA (snRNA) component of the spliceosome (involved in pre-mRNA splicing). Its 5' end forms complementary base pairs with the 5' splice junction, thus defining the 5' donor site of an intron. There are significant differences in sequence and secondary structure between metazoan and yeast U1 snRNAs, the latter being much longer (568 nucleotides as compared to 164 nucleotides in human). Lineage: Eukaryota; Metazoa; Chordata; Mammalia; Rodentia; Cricetidae. The record is from Ensembl.
AUAUUAACAGGAGGGAAGAUACUAUGGUCAAGAAAGUUGUCUCCCAAGACAAGACUUAUCCUUUGCACCUGGGAGGUGCUGAGCCAAGAUUUCCCCAAAUGCAGGAAAGUUGACUGCAUACUUUGUGGUAGUGGGAGAUUGUGUUCAUAUGAUCUCCCA